RNAcentral lists this ribosomal RNA (261 nucleotides) under uncultured bacterium. Its description in RNAcentral is "partial 16S ribosomal RNA". It matches the Rfam family "Bacterial small subunit ribosomal RNA", at positions 15 to 263 of the family's 1533-position model. The record is from RNAcentral.
GAUCCUGGCUCAGGAUAAACGCUAGCGGCAGGCCUAACACAUGCAAGUCGAGGGGCAGCGUAACGGGUAGCAAUACCUGUUGACGGCGACCGGCGCACGGGUGCGUAACGCGUAUGUAACCUACCGUUCACAGGGGGAUAGUCAGAGGAAACUUUGAAUAAUACCGCAUAAAACAGGGGUCCGGCAUCGGAAUAUUUGUUAAAGGUGGCGACACGGUGAACGAUGGGCAUGCGUUCGAUUAGAUAGUUGGAGAGGUAACGG